This 519-nucleotide ribosomal RNA is filed under the name uncultured bacterium. RNAcentral's name for it is "partial 16S ribosomal RNA". It matches the Rfam family "Bacterial small subunit ribosomal RNA", at positions 28 to 507 of the family's 1533-position model. The record is from RNAcentral.
GACGAACGCUGGCGGCGUGCCUAAUACAUGCAAGUCGAGCGAGUCUGCCUUGAAGAUCGGAGUGCUUGCACCCUGUGAAACAAGAUACAGGCUAGCGGCGGACGGGUGAGUAACACGUGGGUAACCUGCCCAAGAGAUCGGGAUAACACCUGGAAACAGAUGCUAAUACCGGAUAACAACAGAUGAUGCCUAUCAACUGUUUAAAAGAUGGUUCUGCUAUCACUCUUGGAUGGACCUGCGGUGCAUUAGCUAGUUGGUAGGGUAACGGCCUACCAAGGCGAUGAUGCAUAGCCGAGUUGGGAGACUGAUCGGCCACAUUGGGACUGAGACACGGCCCAAACUCCUACGGGAGGCAGCAGUAGGGAAUCUUCCACAAUGGACGCAAGUCUGAUGGAGCAACGCCGCGUGAGUGAAGAAGGGUUUCGGCUCGUAAAGCUCUGUUGUUGGUGAAGAAGGACAGGGGUAGUAACUGACCUUUGUUUGACGGUAAUCAAUGAGAAAGUCACGGCUAACUACGUG